GAUGAACGCUGGCGGCGUGCCUAAUACAUGCAAGUCGAGCGAACGGACGAGAAGCUUGCUUCUCUGAUGUUAGCGGCGGACGGGUGAGUAACACGUGGAUAACCUACCUAUAAGACUGGGAUAACUUCGGGAAACCGGAGCUAAUACCGGAUAAUAUUUUGAACCGCAUGGUUCAAAAGUGAAAGACGGUCUUGCUGUAACUUAUAGAUGGAUCCGCGCUGCAUUAGCUAGUUGGUAAGGUAACGGCUUACCAAGGCAACGAUGCAUAGCCGACCUGAGAGGUUGAUCGCCCACACUGGAACUGAGACCCGGUCCAGACUCCUACGGGAGGCAGCAGUAGGGAAUCUUCCGCAAUGGCCGAAAGCCUGACGGAGCAACGCCGCGUGAUUGAUGAAGGUCUUCGGAUCUUAAAACUCUGUUAUUAGGGAAGAACAUAUGUGUAAGUAACUGUGCACAUCUUGUCGGUACCUAAUCAGAAAGCCACGGCUAACUACGUG
Molecule: ribosomal RNA, 497 nt
Filed under: uncultured bacterium
Lineage: Bacteria
Description: partial 16S ribosomal RNA
Rfam family: Bacterial small subunit ribosomal RNA
Source: RNAcentral